AUUGAGAAACACACACAAAUAUAA
RNAcentral lists this small RNA (24 nucleotides) under Arabidopsis thaliana (thale cress). Its description in RNAcentral is "ATSL077860". The record is from RNAcentral. Lineage: Eukaryota; Viridiplantae; Streptophyta; Magnoliopsida; Brassicales; Brassicaceae.